This is an RNA transcript of Hibiscus syriacus, 1183 nucleotides long. It is a transcript of the gene named COP9 signalosome complex subunit 7-like, with no coding region annotated. The transcript has 10 exons. Lineage: Eukaryota; Viridiplantae; Streptophyta; Magnoliopsida; Malvales; Malvaceae. The record is from RefSeq and is a predicted model, not a curated record.
CUAACUUGCUUAUUUAUUCUCUCUCUCUCUCUCUCUUUCCUGAAAGCUUUUCUCUCCGUGAUUUUUGUUUUCAAUAACAUUCUUCAAAUUAUUUCCAUUUCCAUUUUCUUUUUUUCCCCUCCUGGUUUGUGGUGGGGGGUUCGAAUUUUUAAGAUGGAUAUCGAGCAAAAGCAAGCCGAGUUCAUCGAUCACUUUGUUAAGCAAGCGUCGGCUCAGAAGGGGACGGCCCUUGGUUCCGUUAUCGUCGAAGCGACGUCGCAUCCUUCCCUCUUCGCCUUCUCCGAGAUUCUUGCCGUGCCCACCGUCGCUGAGCUAGACGGAACUGAAAACUCCGUGUACCUCGAGGUGCUUCGGCUGUUUGCCCAUGGCACAUGGAGCGAUUACAAAAGCAAUACUGGCAGCCUUCCUCAAUUGGUCCCUGAUCAAGUUCUCAAGUUAAAGCAACUCACUGUCCUUACACUUGCUGAGACAAACAAGGUAUUACCAUAUGAUCAACUAAUGCUGGAGUUAGAUGUCACCAAUGUUCGGGAACUUGAAGAUUUUCUUAUCAAUGAGUGCAUGUAUGUGGGUAUAGUCAGAGGAAAACUGGAUCAGCUGCGAAGAUGUUUUGAGAUCCAAUUUGCUGCUGGGAGGGAUAUGAGGUCAGGACAACUUGGGAGUAUGAUAGAAACACUAGCGAACUGGUUGUUAACAUCAGACAACUUACUAAUCUCAAUUCAAGAGAAGAUAAAAUGGGCGGAUAAUAUGAGUGAGUUUGACAAAAAACAUCUAAAGGAGGUUGAAGAUAGGGUGGAAGAAGUAAAGAAGUCCAUCUCUGCCAAGAAGUUACCAAUUGUAAGCAGGCUGAAGUUGACUUCCGAGGGAUCGAAGAGAUCUACUUUGAACCUGGUGGAGUGAUGGACUAUGAAGAAGACCGAAGUCGACCAAAGAGGAGACGGCAUCCAAGAUCAUGAAGAUAAAGAAAAGCACCCGAUUGGACCAAUGUUUAGUUGAAUAGCCAGAUUUUUGUUCACAACAUCUCAGCAACAGAUGAAUCUACUUUCGGGACAGGGAUACUGCUGCCUCCCUGCCUUUGUGAUUGUUGCUUUAAAAUUCGAGAAUUACACCAACUUGUUUUGAACCCUUUGUCUAUUCCUUUCUGAGUUGGGAAGAACAGCAGUUGGUCUGGAGGGUGCGGAUAAAA